GAUGAACGCUGGCGGCGUGCCUAAUACAUGCAAGUCGAGCGAACAGACGAGGAGCUUGCUCCUCUGACGUUAGCGGCGGACGGGUGAGUAACACGUGGAUAACCUACCUAUAAGACUGGGAUAACUUCGGGAAACCGGAGCUAAUACCGGAUAAUAUAUUGAACCGCAUGGUUCAAUAGUGAAAGACGGUUUUGCUGUCACUUAUAGAUGGAUCCGCGCCGCAUUAGCUAGUUGGUAAGGUAACGGCUUACCAAGGCGACGAUGCGUAGCCGACCUGAGAGGGGGGACGGCCCACCGGGGAAUUGGAACCGGCCCAACCCCCCCAGGGGGGGACGAGGAGGGAACUUUCGCCAAAGGGGGGAAGCCCUACCGAGCAACCCCCGGGGGAUGAAGAAGGUUUUCGGGUUCGAAAACCCUUUUUUUUGGGAAGAAACAAAGGUUAAAUCAAAUGUGCACGUUUUGACGGUACCUAAUCAGAAAGCCACGGCUAACUACGUG
Molecule: ribosomal RNA, 498 nt
Filed under: uncultured bacterium
Lineage: Bacteria
Description: partial 16S ribosomal RNA
Rfam family: Bacterial small subunit ribosomal RNA
Source: RNAcentral